CAUCAAAUCCUACUCUGGCAACGACCCUCUUCUCGCAUGGCUCCAAUAUGCCUCUCUCUUUCUUUGUGGGUAGCUCUUUUAAUGGUUUUAAAAAGUAAGAUUGUUUGGCAUUUUGUAUAUACAGAGGGAUCAGAAAGAUGAAGGAUUCGCUGCCUUCGCAAGUACUGAACGAGAAGCUGCCACGGUUUUUGCAGAAGUGCGCGCAGACCUUCGAUUCCGAUCGCCGUUACAAAAACGACUUACGGUACCUCCGCGUUUGGUUACAGUUGAGAUGAGGUGGGUUCUUUCUAAAAUCCUUGAUAGCUCUUUCUCUCGCUGUCAAUGGCAGACAAGAAAUUAGGGUUCUUCACUAUAAAAGAAGAGGAUUAUGGAGGCAUAAAGAGAGGGGAGGCACGUACUACUACAGAAAGAAGGAUCACCAAAGAAGAAGAGCCAGUUAUGAGGAGAAGUUUGUUGAUUCUAUGUAGAAGAAAGCUAAGGAGGAAAAAGGUUGAAUUUGCAUCAAAGAGAUUCUUGGUAUUCUUUCGUGGACUUACAGAUUGAUUAAUUUUGAUAGCAACCAGAUUCCAAGAUCCUUCAAAGGCAAUGAUUUUUUAAGAUAUAAUAUUUGGUUCCGGAAAAUUAGCCUGUUUUCUAUUGAAACUAACAGAAUUUGUAUUGCUCUAUUUAUUUAUUUGGUUGGUUGAGAAAUUCUGUUGAUGGGUUUUGUUGGUGAGAAUUUCUACGCUGAAUCUAAAAUUUAAUACUAAAUAUUAAAUUUGAUGUUCACUUCUUACUUUUUUUUUUCUUGUCCUAAUUUCGCUGUCUCAUUGACAGGCUUCAAGCGUAGGAAUGGUGCACACAAUCUUUCAUUAAUAACUAUGCAAGUUUGUAUUAAUUUCAUGUGAUUUUUUUAUUUUUUAUUAUUUUUAUGAUAGUUAGAUAUCUAUUUGCUUAUGAAUGAUAUCAGAUCUGACCCUCACUUAAACAAAACAUAAGGUAUAACAUUCACAAAACUUAACGUAAGGUAUCCUAUGCUUUCUUGCUUUCUGAGAAAAUUUCAUUUCCAUUCCAUGUGUUUGUCACAGGUUUUUGUUUUGUGUGUCUUUGGGUUAAUAAGGCAACAAAACUAAAGUUUUUAAGGCUGUCUGAGACUGUCAACAACAUCACAUAAUGAUGUUGGUCAUUUUGGAGUAGGAAUUUGUCAUGAUAUAUGCUUCUCUAAAGUUGCUACGAUUCCCACUUCAUCUCAUCCUAUUAUAGAUUUGCAUCUCCUCUAUAGGACUCAAAUAUCACAUUGGAUUCUUGCUUAUCACAAGUGUAGACUAUGUUGGUAAGGUAUUGCUUGCGUUGCUGAGCUAAGUUCAUUUUUUGGAGUUCAUGUAAUUGUAUUUUUUUUAAAAACUUCGUCAGUCACAAUUCUGCAUUGUGUGCUAUCCGAACAUUUGAGUUAAAUAGUCAAUAUUAUCUUGGUUUGAGAAAAACCAAGACCUAAUCAGGGUGGCCAAGAGCUUCCUUAGUCUCUGUAUUAUUAGGUGCACCAAGAGCUUUCAUGUCCUUUUAUUUCUAUUUUUGUAGGGAUCACUAUUUUCAUUCUUUAGAUUGUAUUAUGAACUUUCAUUAUUGUUUUAAUCAUUUUCAGGUGUGGAUUUUGAGAUUAAGUUGCUCACAAUUGGUGGGAGAAGAUUGAAGCUUACAAUUUGGGACAUAGGCAACUGCUGGAAUUAUUUUGAAUUAUAGUUUCAUUUUAAUAUUUGAUUAAUGAUGCUUUUGGAAGUGAUAGUUUAUGCUAACAUGUAAUCUUUCUCUUCUUUCAAGUUAGUCAUUGCUUUUGGUGCAUAAAUAGAUUGUAGAGCUAUUAACAAUAGCUGAAAGAUAUGUAUAUUUGAUUUUUAGUUGGGUGAACUUUUGGAUUUUAAUAGAAACAUUUAACCUUCGGAUGUUGAAAAAACAAGAAGGUAAAAUGUUCUGUAAAUUUUAAUUUUGUGAAACUGAUCAAUGGCAAUUUGAAGUGUUA
Molecule: long non-coding RNA, 1996 nt
Organism: Quercus lobata
Lineage: Eukaryota; Viridiplantae; Streptophyta; Magnoliopsida; Fagales; Fagaceae
Exons: 5
Source: RefSeq, a predicted model, not a curated record